RNAcentral lists this ribosomal RNA (1247 nucleotides) under Triticum aestivum (bread wheat). RNAcentral's name for it is "partial small subunit ribosomal RNA". The record is from RNAcentral. Lineage: Eukaryota; Viridiplantae; Streptophyta; Magnoliopsida; Poales; Poaceae.
CCGUGGCGUCCGGCUGGUUGGUAGGUAGGGUAUAGAGAGAGGCGGCUACUGUCGGCGCCAGAGGCCGCCGCCGGCCACUCUGGCGGCGGCGGCGGCGGCGGACUGCUUGAACGGGGAAGGCUCGCGCCUACGAGCCCGUCGCGUGUACAGUCGAGAGGCAGACACGUUCCCUCGGCAGCUCAGCAGCGGCGGCCCCACGGCCACGACCAGCCCUACGAGCUCCAGCUCCUUGGAACAGCGGCGACGACGGCGCAGGAGGACGCGGGGCUCUCCCCGACGGCGGCAGCGCACGACGGCCUUGUUCGUCGUCCCCUCGAAGGCGAACCACGCACGCCGAGGAAGGAAGCCGUCUUCGUCGUCCCCCUACGUUACCCGGUAGUUCUGAUACCGUCUGCUGUUAGGUCUGUUAAGACCGUUAUCGUGAGCCGACAAAUUACGUUAAGUUAGAAAAAAUUUCUUCAACAGACCGUUCGACUUCUUUCAUUCAUCUCCCAAAGGUCAUUUCUAGGAUAAGAAGGACUAUCCUAAAAUGACACGGUGCCGUAAACGAUGGCAGUAGCCCGUUUGUCCGCUGACCCUGUAUGAAAGACGGCCGGAACGACAACGGUAGCAGCUCCAAUAACCGCGAGAGUACAUGUCCCGAAGGAAACGCGAAGAACCGUCCUACUUCUUAUACUAAAGGUAUAAGUUAAUGACCUUUCGGCCCGAGUGCGAACCUAACAAGAACCUAAGCAAGUUCAUACUUCACCUACUUGAGGAACUUAGUACAUCAGGCAAGUUGAAACUCUAAUUAUAUAAAUGACCCGAAACCAUUUUAAAACGAGGUCUAAAAUCAUAGAACCAAGUAGGCGGUUUACAACGAGUUCAAUGCGGACCUCGACGUAUGUACUACUGGGACUACCGCGUAAACGUAGGUACUACUAGGGCUACCCCGUAAGGAGUACCGUCUGCGACACGAGGACGAGGGAGUAGUAGAAGAGGGAGUCGCUCGUAGAAGAACACGACGAGGGUGAUCCUGUCCGAGGUGGGGGAGGAGACCAGAACCGUAGGACGGUACGGCGUUCUGUCGGACGUGUGGUAGUAGAGGUAGCCUUGCUCAGUUUUCGCCCUAUUCUAACGCCGAACGGGCACUAGUACGGCCCGUAUUAUUGGACCUUAAGAAACCCUCCGGACCGGAUGUGUCCUCCACAAGUGGACGUUGUUUCCCGCUUCAGCUCCACGUCUCAGUUUUACAAGCCAAAGCGAUC